This 233-nucleotide ribosomal RNA is filed under the name uncultured Eubacterium sp. Its description in RNAcentral is "partial 16S ribosomal RNA". It matches the Rfam family "Bacterial small subunit ribosomal RNA", at positions 634 to 868 of the family's 1533-position model. The record is from RNAcentral. Lineage: Bacteria; Bacillati; Bacillota; Clostridia; Eubacteriales; Eubacteriaceae.
UGUUUUUCUUGAGUAUAUUUGAAGUAGGCGGAAUUCGUAGUGUAGCGGUGAAAUGCAUAGAUAUUACGAAGAACUCCAAUUGCGAAGGCAGCUUACUAAACUAUAACUGACGCUGAAGCACGAAAGCGUGGGUAUCAAACAGGAUUAGAUACCCUGGUAGUCCACGCCGUAAACGAUGAUUACUAGCUGUUUGUGAUAUUACAAUAAGCGGCUAAGCGAAAGCGAUAAGUAAU